GUAGUCCCGGCUGUAAACGAUGGACACUGAAUGGAGGAGGGUUCACCUUUCUCUGUUGCAGCUAACGCGUUAAGUGUCCCGCCUGGGGAGUACGGCCGCAAGGUUAAAACUCAAAGGAAUUGACGGGGGCUCGCACAAGCGGUGGAGCAUGUGGUUCAAUUCGAUGCAACGCGAAGAACCUUACCCGGGCUUGAAGUGGAGGUGGUAGGAGCCGGAAACGGCAACGACCCCGAAAGGGGAGCCUUCAUCAGGUGUUGCAUGGCUGUCGUCAGCUCGUGUCGUGAGAUGUUAGCUUAAGUGCUGUAACGAGCGAAACCCUUGCUGUUAGUUGCAAACCCGAAAGGGUGCACUCUAGCAGGACUGCCCGUGCUGAAUGGGA
RNAcentral lists this ribosomal RNA (379 nucleotides) under uncultured bacterium. Its description in RNAcentral is "bacterial SSU rRNA". It matches the Rfam family "Bacterial small subunit ribosomal RNA", at positions 790 to 1167 of the family's 1533-position model. The record is from RNAcentral.